This 483-nucleotide ribosomal RNA is filed under the name uncultured bacterium. RNAcentral describes it as "partial 16S ribosomal RNA". It matches the Rfam family "Bacterial small subunit ribosomal RNA", at positions 29 to 506 of the family's 1533-position model. The record is from RNAcentral.
AUUGAACGCUAGCGGGAUGCUUUACACAUGCAAGUCGAACGGCAGCGCGGACUUCGGUCUGGCGGCGAGUGGCGAACGGGUGAGUAAUGUAUCGGAACGUGCCCAGUAGCGGGGGAUAACUACGCGAAAGCGUAGCUAAUACCGCAUACGCCCUACGGGGGAAAGCAGGGGAUCGUAAGACCUUGCACUAUUGGAGCGGCCGAUAUCGGAUUAGCUAGUUGGUGAGGUAACGGCUCACCAAGGCGACGAUCCGUAGCUGGUUUGAGAGGACGACCAGCCAAACUGGACCGUGGACCCGGCCCGACCUCCUACGGGAGGCAGCGGUGGGGAAUUUGGGAAAAGGGGGGCAACCCUGAUCCGGCCAUCCCGCGGGGGCGAUGAAGGCCUUCGGGUUGUAAAGCACUUUUGGCGGGAAAGAAACGUCGCGGGCUAAAACCCCGUGGAACUGACGGUCCCUGCAGAAUAAGCACCGGCUAACUACGU